Molecule: unclassified non-coding RNA, 516 nt
Filed under: Hevea brasiliensis (rubber tree)
Lineage: Eukaryota; Viridiplantae; Streptophyta; Magnoliopsida; Malpighiales; Euphorbiaceae
Source: RNAcentral
GAAGGGUCUAGGGUUUAGCCGUUGACCCCUACUUGGAAUUAUCUCAGGAGGAUCAACUAAGCCAACCUCAGCUAGUAAUUUUAAGGCCUAGUUAAUGAGGUUUUCAAUUUUCUUGAAGUCAUUGAGAUACUUUUACCUGAUUAUUCUAAUAUUGAAAGUUGAAUUAUACUUGCUAUUGUAACUUGUGAAGUUCCUGGCUCACAACAUAGACAUCAAUUAAUGCUAUGACCCAUUGCACUACCUGAGUUGUUGGCAGACACAAACAAUAGCAAUGAUCAUACUACCUUUGUGAGAAGAGACUUGGUUGAAUGUUAGUAGAUCUAUUUGCCUAAGUUAACCAUGUUGUUUAUAAAUCCGUUAGUUUAUCUUAGUCCUUGGCCUGUGUGGAACAAUAAAAAGUAUGCUGUCACUUAGCAUGGCUCUUUUUUUUGACUUUCUGGAAAUUGUGUUUCUGCUGUUAGCUAAGUAGUAAUUAUUUGUGGUCUUUAUUCUUUUGAGGAUACAGCAUUUCUAUGC